RNAcentral lists this long non-coding RNA (721 nucleotides) under Ananas comosus (pineapple). RNAcentral's name for it is "long non-coding RNA (ACOM_LNC023597)". Lineage: Eukaryota; Viridiplantae; Streptophyta; Magnoliopsida; Poales; Bromeliaceae. The record is from RNAcentral.
AUAGGAGUUUAUAUUUACAAACUCUGUAAAUAUAAAAUUAUAUAAACACCGUUCUCUAGAAACUUUAGCUGUUAGAUAAAGGUAUUUAUAUAUUUUUAUAUUUAACAUGAUCGGCCCAUAACCCACAGGUCCCAGGAUCGCAACUUCCUUCUGAUACCAUAUGAAGCAACCGUUGUGUUGGAUCGUUGGCGCUAAUCAUUAAUUUCAAAAGCUCGAGCUGUUAAAAAUAUAUAUACAACCAAUUCACUCAAAGCGUACAGAUACAGCGCCCACGAAUCUCGAUUAUGAAUAGGCCCAAUCAGUCUCACGCCAUUUCGAACAUAACUCGGCUCACCUAGUCUCACCCCAUUUCGAACGCGACUCGGCCCAAUACAGCCUCCGGCCACAGAGCAAGAUGCUGGCCUAUUUAAGCCAAUACAUCGUACUCUAAAACUUAAAUUUUCAGAGAACGGUACGUGUUUAUAUGAUUUUAUAUUUAACAAACUCGUUAGGCAGAAAACUUUUGCUUAUUUCUCAUAAAAACUUUUAAUAAUUUAAUAAAAAUGUAAAAUUAUAAUUUAAAGCUAGUAGAUAAAUUAAAUGGAGUUAGCGCUAAGUAUAUAAAAAUAUGUUUCGCAUUUAACGAUGUGGGAUAAUAUAAAAUACCUUACUACCGACACACUACGAUAUGCAGAACGUAAUAUUACGUAUAAAAAUAAAAUAAAUAUUUUUUUAUCGUAAC